GAUGAACGCUGGCGGCGUGCCUAACACAUGCAAGUCGAGCGAACGGACGAGAAGCUUGCUUCUAUGAUGUUAGCGACGGACGGGCGAGUAACACGUGGAUAAGCUACCAAUAAGACCAAGAUAAGGUCAGGAAACCGGACCUACUACCGGAGAAUACUUUGAACCGCAUGGUUGAAGAGCGCAAGACGGUCUUGCCGCCGCCUAUAGGCGGGUUCGCGCUGCAUCAGCUAGUUGGUAAGGUAACGGCUUACCAAGGCAACGAUGCGUAGCCGAACUGAGAGUGUGAGCGGCCACCCUGGAACUGAGAGACGGUGCAGACUCCUACAGGAGGCAGCAGUGGGGAAUCGUCCGCAAUGGGCGAAUGCGUGACGGAGCAACGCCGCGUGAGUGAUGAAGGUCUUCGGAUCGUAAAGCUCUGUUAUUAGGGAAGAAGAUAUGUGUGAGUAGCUGCGCACCUCUUGACGGUACCUAAUCAGAAAGCCACGGCUAACUCCGUG
RNAcentral lists this ribosomal RNA (497 nucleotides) under uncultured bacterium. Its description in RNAcentral is "partial 16S ribosomal RNA". It matches the Rfam family "Bacterial small subunit ribosomal RNA", at positions 28 to 507 of the family's 1533-position model. The record is from RNAcentral.